RNAcentral lists this ribosomal RNA (910 nucleotides) under uncultured bacterium. RNAcentral's name for it is "bacterial SSU rRNA". It matches the Rfam family "Bacterial small subunit ribosomal RNA", at positions 33 to 925 of the family's 1533-position model. The record is from RNAcentral.
ACGCUGGCGGCGUGCCUAAUACAUGCAAGUAGAACGCUGAAGAGAGGAGCUUGCUCUUCUUGAAUGAGUUGCGAACGGGUGAGUAACGCGUAGGUAACCUGCCUUGUAGCGGGGGAUAACUAUUGGAAACGAUAGCUAAUACCGCAUAACAAUGGGUGACACAUGUCAUUUAUUUGAAAGGGGCAAUUGCUCCACUACAAGAUGGACCUGCGUUGUAUUAGCUAGUAGGUGAGGUAACGGCUCACCUAGGCGACGAUACAUAGCCGACCUGAGAGGGUGAUCGGCCACACUGGGACUGAGACACGGCCCAGACUCCUACGGGAGGCAGCAGUAGGGAAUCUUCGGCAAUGGGGGCAACCCUGACCGAGCAACGCCGCGUGAGUGAAGAAGGUUUUCGGAUCGUAAAGCUCUGUUGUAAGUCAAGAACGAGUGUGAGAGUGGAAAGUUCACACUGUGACGGUAGCUUACCAGAAAGGGACGGCUAACUACGUGCCAGCAGCCGCGGUAAUACGUAGGUCCCGAGCGUUGUCCGGAUUUAUUGGGCGUAAAGCGAGCGCAGGCGGUUUGAUAAGUCUGAAGUUAAAGGCUGUGGCUCAACCAUAGUUCGCUUUGGAAACUGUCAAACUUGAGUGCAGAAGGGGAGAGUGGAAUUCCAUGUGUAGCGGUGAAAUGCGUAGAUAUAUGGAGGAACACCGGUGGCGAAAGCGGCUCUCUGGUCUGUAACUGACGCUGAGGCUCGAAAGCGUGGGGAGCGAACAGGAUUAGAUACCCUGGUAGUCCACGCCGUAAACGAUGAGUGCUAGGUGUUGGAUCCUUUCCGGGAUUCAGUGCCGCAGCUAACGCAUUAAGCACUCCGCCUGGGGAGUACGACCGCAAGGUUGAAACUCAAAGGAAUUGACGGGGGCCCGCA